GUAGAGUAAAGUAUCGGAACGUACCUUUCAGUGGGGGAUAACGUAGCGAAAGUUACGCUAAUACCGCAUAUUCUGUGAGCAGGAAAGCAGGGGAUCGCAAGACCUUGCGCUGAUUGAGCGGCCGAUAUCAGAUUAGCUAGUUGGUGGGGUAAAGGCCUACCAAGGCGACGAUCUGUAGCGGGUCUGAGAGGAUGAUCCGCCACACUGGAACUGAGACACGGUCCAG
Molecule: ribosomal RNA, 226 nt
Filed under: uncultured Rhodocyclales bacterium
Lineage: Bacteria; Pseudomonadati; Pseudomonadota; Betaproteobacteria; Rhodocyclales
Description: partial 16S ribosomal RNA
Rfam family: Bacterial small subunit ribosomal RNA
Source: RNAcentral